Molecule: unclassified non-coding RNA, 21 nt
Filed under: Mus musculus (house mouse)
Lineage: Eukaryota; Metazoa; Chordata; Mammalia; Rodentia; Muridae
Description: oocyte_clustered_small_RNA10531
Source: RNAcentral
UGUUUCCUGGAACCCAUGCAC